CCUACCGGAGGCAGCAGUGGGGAAUCUUCCACAAGGGACGAAAGUGUAAUCGAGCCCAGCCGCGUAGCAAGAAGGCGUUCGGAUGGUAAAGCUAUGUAGGAGGGAGGAACAAGUACCCCCUAACCCGCGACAAGACGGUACCUCAGAAAAGCACCGCUAUUUCG
This 164-nucleotide ribosomal RNA is filed under the name uncultured bacterium. RNAcentral's name for it is "partial 16S ribosomal RNA". The record is from RNAcentral.